Molecule: ribosomal RNA, 253 nt
Filed under: uncultured bacterium
Lineage: Bacteria
Description: partial 16S ribosomal RNA
Rfam family: Bacterial small subunit ribosomal RNA
Source: RNAcentral
UACGGAGGGUGCAAGCGUUAUCCGGAUUCACUGGGUUUAAAGGGUGCGUAGGUGGGCAAGUAAGUCAGUGGUGAAAUCUCCGGGCUUAACCCGGAAACUGCCAUUGAUACUAUUUGUCUUGAAUACUGUGGAGGUCAGCGGAAUAUGUCAUGUAGCGGUGAAAUGCUUAGAGAUCCGGAGGAACACCAGUGGCGAAGGCGAUCUGCUAGGCCUGACCUGACACUCAGACGCGACAGCAUGGGGAGCGAACGGG